RNAcentral lists this ribosomal RNA (253 nucleotides) under uncultured bacterium. Its description in RNAcentral is "partial 16S ribosomal RNA". It matches the Rfam family "Bacterial small subunit ribosomal RNA", at positions 524 to 776 of the family's 1533-position model. The record is from RNAcentral.
UACGUAGGGUGCGAGCGUUGUCCGGAAUUAUUGGGCGUAAAGGGCUCGUAGGCGGUUUGUCGCGUCGGGAGUGAAAACUCAGGGCUUAACCCUGAGCCUGCUUCCGAUACGGGCAGACUAGAGGUAUGCAGGGGAGAACGGAAUUCCUGGUGUAGCGGUGAAAUGCGCAGAUAUCAGGAGGAACACCGGUGGCGAAGGCGGUUCUCUGGGCAUUACCUGACGCUGAGGAGCGAAAGUGUGGGGAGCAAACGGG